CCGAGUGCGGGCCCUCUGGGUCCAACCUCCCACCCGUGUUUAUCGUACCUUGUUGCUUCGGCGGGCCCGCCGCAAGGCCGCCCGGGGGGCUUCUGCCCCCCCGGGCCCGCGCCCGCCGGAGACACCUGUGAACGCUUUUGUGAAGAUUGCAGUCUGAGCGAUUAGCUAAAUCGGUUA
RNAcentral lists this unclassified non-coding RNA (177 nucleotides) under uncultured fungus. RNAcentral describes it as "sequence contains ITS1, 5.8S rRNA gene". Lineage: Eukaryota; Fungi. The record is from RNAcentral.